CCUACGGGUGGCAGCAGUGAGGAAUAUUGGUCAAUGGGCGUAAGCCUGAACCAGCCAAGUCGCGUGAGGGAUGAAGGUUCUAUGGAUCGUAAACCUCUUUUAUAAGGGAAUAAAGUGUGGGACGUGUCCUAUUUUGUAUGUACCUUAUGAAUAAGGAUCGGCUAACUCCGUACCAGCAGCCGCGGUAAUACGGAGGAUCCGAGCGUUGGCCGGAUUUAUUGGGUUUAAAGGGUUCGUAGGCGGCCUUUUAAGUCAGCGGUGAAAGUCUGUGGAUCAACCAUAGAAUUGCCGUUGAAACUGGGGGGCUUGAGUAUGUUUGAGGCAGGCGGAAUGCGUGGUGUAGCGGUGAAAUGCUUAGAUAUCACGCAGAACCCCGAUUGCGAAGGCAGCCUGCCAAGCCAUGACUGACGCUGAUGCACGAAAGCGUGGGGAUCAAACAGGAGUAGAUACCCUGGUAGUC
RNAcentral lists this ribosomal RNA (460 nucleotides) under uncultured bacterium. RNAcentral describes it as "partial 16S ribosomal RNA". It matches the Rfam family "Bacterial small subunit ribosomal RNA", at positions 338 to 795 of the family's 1533-position model. The record is from RNAcentral.